CUUUGCCUAAUGUCCUAUCUGAUGGGCCAUUCUAUGUAUUAUAUGCUACAUAAUCUCCACAAAUGUAUACUGUGGUCCAUAAAACUGCCAUACUGUUUUCAGAAACUAGUAAUUCACAAAGUAAACCUGAGACAGUGCUGUUAAUAAACACAAAUUGCAAACAAGAAGGUAGUAAGUGGAAAUAAUGCACUCAUUUAGGAGCAAUAAAGCCUUUGAUCUUACUUUGAAGGAAAGAGUCCAUGUUGAAACUACCCAUUCAGGGACAGCCAGAUGCCCAUAAAGAGCAAGGCUUGCUUUGAUAGAAAAUCGCUGAGGCCUGUCUAGCAGGUCUGGUUUGUAAACAGAUUAGUUAAGGGCUCAUCAGGACUGAUUUGCAUAGGCUUCAGCGAGCCCCACUUUUUCAACCUUAAUGAGCAAUGCCAUUUCCAGGUUGGAAAUUACACUUUUUUUUUUUUUUCUAGCUAGAAAUCUUAGGUAAUUACUUUGUGGGAAAGGGAAAGAAUAUUCAUAUAAAGGGAACCCUUGCUGUCCUCAGCUAAUGGGAAAAUGAUGACCUAAGACUUGUUUUGCUUGCUCCAAAUGGUGAAUGAUAUAAUGAACGAAAUAGGUUAUGCGUUUAAAAUGUGGUUACAAAGAGGUUUUCCUCCCUUUCUCUGUUAUUUGAGAGAUAAAAGAGGAUUAAUCCAAAUUAUAAUAGAAAAGGUAACAUGGGACUGCAGACUCAGACUACAAAUAUUUAUUUAUCUGCAGAUUUUUAUGGAGGACCUCCUUGGAGCCAGGCUGUGUUCUAGGGGCCUCCUAUCCCUCAGUGCUCAAGGCAGACAAAGGCCCUGCCCUCAUGGAGCCUGCCCUCCAGAGCCUACCACUGUGGAGAAAAGGGAACAGUAAAGGAAAGGAGUUGAGCCAGUUUAAGCACGUAUUCUGAAAUCUCUACUUGUUAGCAGCCGUUUGCUUGAGAGAUGGCAAGACCAGUAUUUCCAGAGAGAAAAGACCCUCUGAUCAAUCUAAUUGCACUUUUAUUUUCAAUUCUCAGAAUAAUCAGUAAUUGCCUUGCUGUCAGUAAUCAAGAAUAUCUCCUAUCCUUAAAUUUUGUAGUGAAAAAAAUGUCAAAAGAAAACCUUUGCUUACUCUGGUCAUUUAAUAGAUAACAAAUGGAGCAGCUCAGUAGGGACAAAGGGUAGCUUUGAAAGUAAACAGUUCCCAAAUAAAAUGAAAUGAUAUCAGAAAUUUUCAACUCUGACCUUCUGAAAGUGCCAUGAGGUUGUGGUGGACAACGGUCUGUUUCUUUGUCUGGCUUGCGGCAACGUCGUUCUGCUUAUGAGAGAUCUUUGUAGGUAUUGUAAACACUGGUGACACUGACUUGCUCAGUUGGGAACUUGGGUUUAAAUAACAACCUUCAGCUUCAGCCUUUGUGUCCUGCCUUGUCAAGGCCAAGGACCUCAGCCGUCUGCUGCUUCCUAGAAGUGAGAUCAAAUCAGCACACUCCCAUAAAUGUCACCUUGGAUACAUUCCACUCUGAAAAACAACGGUCCAGCUCUGAUUUAUGAAAUAUCUCAACUAGAUGUGGCAAUGAGAAUGUGCUCAACUGUCUUCAGCAGUGGAAAAGAAAAUGAUAUACUCCAAGA
RNAcentral lists this long non-coding RNA (1625 nucleotides) under Equus caballus (horse). Its description in RNAcentral is "lncRNA (ENSECAG00000045834.1)". Lineage: Eukaryota; Metazoa; Chordata; Mammalia; Perissodactyla; Equidae. The record is from RNAcentral.